This is a long non-coding RNA of Leopardus geoffroyi (Geoffroy's cat), 2313 nucleotides long. RefSeq lists it as uncharacterized. The record is from RefSeq and is a predicted model, not a curated record. Lineage: Eukaryota; Metazoa; Chordata; Mammalia; Carnivora; Felidae. The transcript has 2 exons.
ACCCAUGCACACAGGCACGCUGCAAGUCAGUGUGGAGUUGAGUCUUAAGAACCAGGCUUCCUGUCUUGAGUCUGGUGUUCAUCCCUACCACUCUACCUGUCCAGGUGUGUCCAGGAUAUAGGGCACUGGCAAAUAAGACACUGCAGGACCACCUGUGGUGGCCAUUUCUUUUCUUCUUGAUGGAGGAAGUUUGCUUCUGGGGAGCACUGCACUUUGGACCCAAGGUAUUUAAAAUGCUGGUGGGGGAUAAGCAGGACUAUAGACAAAGUAGAGGAAGUAGCCUGAAUUUGCUCCCCCAUGAGGGGCCCUUUCUAGAUGCUCACUCCUUCCUCAGCAUUUUACCCAUUCCUUUCACCUUACCUCCAGGUUCCUAAGAAAACCUCUUCUCCCUUCCUUCACUCUCCUAAGGCAUAAAUGAUUGACUACAGUUUAAAGGGCUAUUGCUCCAGGCCUUAGCUUACCUUACAAUUAUGUAGUUUAUGCCUCAACUUACAAGAAAAGCAUAUUCAAACCCACGGUCUUGUGAAAAUGAAUUAAAGAAAGCGUCACUAAAAUGGAGUCAGGAGGUUCAGGAGGGGAGGCUCUCACACCCUUCCACUUCUCUUCAAUUGCAAAUUCAAUAGGAAAAGGUGGAUUUUGCUUGUGGAUACCACUUCACUACAACAGCAGGAGGAAGGAAAGCUUUCUUCUCCCCCUCGGUAACAGCCCAGCCAAUGAGGGACAGUGAUAACUCAGCCAAUGAGAAGCCACUAUACUUCAAACUCCCAGUUUAUUCCAAUGGGCUUGCUGUUUAUAACAGCCGCCUUCUAUAAAAGAGCGUUCCUUUCCUUUGUUCCCUAAACUUGCUUGUGUUGUUCGCAUGGCUUCCGUGUCCCAGUUUGUAGUUCUCUGCUAUUCCUUAAUAAACGCAUUUUUGCUGGUUAAAGAACCAGAAGUUUUAUUUUUAAGGUUAUUAGUCUCCAAGAGAAAGUAUAAGUUUUUAGCGACUGGCAUAGCCUAAGCAGACAACUAGCGAGAACAAACAGCGGCUAGAGCACGGAGUGGGUGUUGAAGCCUCUGUCACCCCCUCCGUAGCACCAGGCACCACCUCAGCUGCUGAUCCAUGGGGAAGUCUUUUCUAGGAUAUUUGGAGGAAGAUACUACAUUUUCUUUUCAAACACUGAGGAAACGAUAUCCAUGAGGUUCAACAGCUUCUCAAGCUCUCACAGCUGGUGAGUUUCUGGCAGUUGGGUAAGUUUAGAGCAUGGGGUAUCCAAGAUGGGAGGCUCCUUGUGAGACAGAGGAGAUGGGAGCCCUGGGCUGGCAGAGGGCACCACACGGGCUCUAACCCCAGAUGUCAAGGAGCAGAUUGUGGGGAAACAACAGAAAGAACAGGGGUGUGUGUGUGUGUGUGUGUGUGUGUGUGUGUGUGUGUGUUUUGAUGCUGGCUGGGAAGAUGAAGGGGGGUGGAGGUGGGCAGACAUGGGAGACAUUGUUGGCUUUGCUUCUUGCCCUAUAUGGGAAGAUUGUCACCCAGAGAAUGUGAUCACAUUUGGAGCAUUAGCUGUGGCAUUUGAUUUUAGAAAUAGCUGUGUCUUGUUCAUCAGGGGCUGCUGAUUAACUCCUGAUGCCCACCCCAACCCCUCCCCCACUCCCUGCAAUUGCUAAGCUGCGUAGAAUCCUGAGCUCUGUGGAUUGUGAUGCAAGCAAAAACCUGGUUCAUGUUGGAGUAGGGCCUCUCUUUGAAGAAUUGCUGGGUCCUAGGUUGUCAAAGAUUAGGAAACUCAAUUUGCUCCUCUGUGGAUGGAGUCUGAAAUGCUGAUCAGCACUUGCCCAGAAUUCUAGGUACCACCCCCCAGCCCUGCUAUUUCGGGGGCUAGAUGGGGUCCAGAUUCCUCCUCCCCUCCCCAUUCUUCCUGGAAAAGCACAUAUGCUUCUUAGGGUAUCAGGUAAAGGCCUGGCUGCUUGCCCCCCUGGGAGGAGAGUUUAGCCUCAUGACAACCUGUGCUCCAGUGGCUCUGCCCAGGACUCGAGAUUUAUGAGGUCUCUAGGAGCACCAGGGGUGUGGGAAGGACUUAUGAUGUGAAAUGCUAUGAGUCUAUCUACUUGGUUUCCCCACAGAUCCUGACUAGGGGCUAGGAACCAGGUUGACAUGGGUCCUGUCAGUGAACAAGUCCCAUGUCAGGUUUCUUCUGCUGCCACUCCCUUGAUAGCACAUGGCCUUUCCCCAAACUACAUGCUCCCUCCCAACAAAGGAUAUUAAUAGGUGUGAGUCUUGUGCCAGGUUCAAAGUGACCAAAAAACCCCCAAAAUAAAAAACUUUGUUUCUAGGCA